This 185-nucleotide unclassified non-coding RNA is filed under the name soil metagenome. Its description in RNAcentral is "partial internal transcribed spacer 1". The record is from RNAcentral.
AAAGAUAUAGCAUAUUCUUCUGAAUAUACCUUAUUAACCCAUUCCGAGUACCUUACCCGUUGCUUCCGCGAGGCUGUCCUCACGGCCCUCUGAAGAUUUAUCUUUGGGGAGUCCUUGCGGAAGGUAUACAAUAAACUCUUGCAUUACCAUGUCAUCUGUCUGAAUCUGUUUGAAAACGAAUAUUA